AGCAAAAAGCCCCUAAUCGGAGUUCUUACAUGCUGAAUAUAGAUUUGUAAAUAAACAGCAACUCUGCUUCCUCCCUUCCAGCCUUCCUGUAAAACAGUGGAGCCGGAUGAGACAAUCCGUGGUGGGCACCAUCCAAGGAGACCACACUCAAAAUCUUCCCAAGAUGAAGUCCUGAGGGUGGACCCUAAUCCAGCGUAACAGGACCGGGGGCCUUACAAGAUGAGGGGAGUUGGGACACGCACACAGAGCACCGGUGGAGACGCAGACCCAGAGGGAAGAGGCCACGUGAAGACAGAGGCAGAGGCUGCAGUGCGGCUGCUGGAAGCCAAGGACACUGGGGAUCCCUAGAGCUGGAAGAGGCAAGGAUCCAAUUUGAUUUGCCCUCAUGGAAUGGCGACUUCCCUUCUGCUGAAGCCGGGAGGGGGUCUGCAGAAAUCUGUUUGGAGCCAAGACUCUCAUCACAUGCCUGGCCCAUAAAGUUGGCUGCACCUGGCCGAGGGAGGAGGGGCGGGUGGUUUGUCGCCUCCCAUCCUGCCUGCUGACACUCACAGGGUGGAAAUCAACUUGAGUCUCAGUUGACUAUUUUGCCAGCAUUUGGAUUCAGACCUAUCUUGCCCCAUACAGGUCACACCAAGGCCGGGCAUUCUCACUAUUUUCAAUGGGCCACUAGCCUUGUUGGUUUGAAAUUGAUUUUGAAUGCCAAUUGAUAUUGAGUAAAAGAAACACAGUUUCUGCCGCCAGGUUUGCAUUUUCCUAAAAUACUCAUGCUCUUUUCAACUUGAAUCCUGUCCUCCCUUCAUCCAUAUGACAUCCCUGCCUUUCUGCAAAGAGGACAGACAUGUGGCAUAGGCCACGCCACUCCUCAUCCCUUGCUUGUGGCCAACAUCGCCAAAUGAUCGCUGCAUUCUUUCAGGCAAAGCCUAGACACAGCAUCGACUGGUGUUAGCACCUGGGAUGGAAAAGUGUUUGCUGUCCCCACACUCAGUAACAUUUACUAUCUUGUAGUCGGGCAUGGCUGCACAGGCCUGUAAUCCCAGGUACUCAAGAAGUUGAGGCAGGAGGUUCG
Molecule: non-coding RNA, 1066 nt
Organism: Microcebus murinus (gray mouse lemur)
Lineage: Eukaryota; Metazoa; Chordata; Mammalia; Primates; Cheirogaleidae
Source: RefSeq, a predicted model, not a curated record